GGGGGGGGGGGGGGGGGGGCGGAGCGCAGGGGGGGCGAGCGGGGGGGCGCGGGUGGGGUGGGGGGCGCGGGUGGCGGACGGGUGGGUGGCACGGUGGGGAGCUGGGCUGGACGUUGGGAGAGCUUGCGGCGCCUGGGGGUAGUAACGGGUAGGCGCGCCUGCUUCGUGGUGGGUGUGGGAAGGGUUCGGCGGUUGGGGAUGGACUCGCGGCUUAUCAGCUUGUUGGUGGGGUAGUGGCUUACCAAGGCUUUGACGGGUAGCCGGCCUGAGAGGGUGACCGGCCACAUUGGGACUGAGAUACGGCCCAGACUCCUACGGGAGGCAGCAGUGGGGAAUAUUGCACAAUGGGCGGAAGCCUGAUGCAGCAACGCCGCGUGCGGGAUGACGGCCUUCGGGUUGUAAACCGCUUUCGCCUGUGACGAAGCGUGAGUGACGGUAAUGGGUAAAGAAGCACCGGCUAACUACGUG
Molecule: ribosomal RNA, 468 nt
Filed under: uncultured bacterium
Lineage: Bacteria
Description: partial 16S ribosomal RNA
Rfam family: Bacterial small subunit ribosomal RNA (bases 48-468)
Source: RNAcentral